This 963-nucleotide ribosomal RNA is filed under the name Salmonella enterica subsp. enterica serovar Kentucky. Its description in RNAcentral is "partial 23S ribosomal RNA". It matches the Rfam family "Bacterial large subunit ribosomal RNA", at positions 670 to 1632 of the family's 2925-position model. The record is from RNAcentral. Lineage: Bacteria; Pseudomonadati; Pseudomonadota; Gammaproteobacteria; Enterobacterales; Enterobacteriaceae.
AGGGAAACCGAGUCUUAACUGGGCGUUAAGUUGCAGGGUAUAGACCCGAAACCCGGUGAUCUAGCCAUGGGCAGGUUGAAGGUUGGGUAACACUAACUGGAGGACCGAACCGACUAAUGUUGAAAAAUUAGCGGAUGACUUGUGGCUGGGGGUGAAAGGCCAAUCAAACCGGGAGAUAGCUGGUUCUCCCCGAAAGCUAUUUAGGUAGCGCCUCGUGAACUCAUCUUCGGGGGUAGAGCACUGUUUCGGCUAGGGGGUCAUCCCGACUUACCAACCCGAUGCAAACUGCGAAUACCGAAGAAUGUUAUCACGGGAGACACACGGCGGGUGCUAACGUCCGUCGUGAAGAGGGAAACAACCCAGACCGCCAGCUAAGGUCCCAAAGUCACAGUUAAGUGGGAAACGAUGUGGGAAGGCUCAGACAGCCAGGAUGUUGGCUUAGAAGCAGCCAUCAUUUAAAGAAAGCGUAAUAGCUCACUGGUCGAGUCGGCCUGCGCGGAAGAUGUAACGGGGCUAAACUGUGCACCGAAGCUGCGGCAGCGACGCUUAUGCGUUGUUGGGUAGGGGAGCGUUCUGUAAGCCUGCGAAGGUGUCCUGUGAGGGAUGCUGGAGGUAUCAGAAGUGCGAAUGCUGACAUAAGUAACGAUAAUGCGGGUGAAAAGCCCGCUCGCCGGAAGACCAAGGGUUCCUGUCCAACGUUAAUCGGGGCAGGGUGAGUCGACCCCUAAGGCGAGGCCGAAAGGCGUAGUCGAUGGGAAACGGGUUAAUAUUCCCGUACUUGGUGUUACUGCGAAGGGGGGACGGAGAAGGCUAUGUUGGCCGGGCGACGGUUGUCCCGGUUUAAGCGUGUAGGCUGGUUUUCCAGGCAAAUCCGGAAAAUCAAGGCUGAGGCGUGAUGACGAGGCACUACGGUGCUGAAGCAACAAAUGCCCUGCUUCCAGGAAAAGCCUCUAAGCAUCAGGU